This 372-nucleotide ribosomal RNA is filed under the name uncultured bacterium. RNAcentral's name for it is "bacterial SSU rRNA". It matches the Rfam family "Bacterial small subunit ribosomal RNA", at positions 527 to 896 of the family's 1533-position model. The record is from RNAcentral.
GUAGGGAGCGAGCGUUGUCCGAAGUUACUGGGCGUAAAGCGCGCGUAGGCGGGCUGUUAAGUGAGAGGUGAAAGGCUGGGGCUCAACCCCAUGCAGUGCCUCUCAUACUGGCGGUCUUGAGUGCGGCAGGGAGAAGUGGAAUGGCUGGUGUAGCGGUGAAAUGCGUAGAUAUCAGUCGGAACACCGGUGGCGAAGGCGGCUUCUUGGGCCUGGACUGACGCUGAGGCGCGAAAGCUGGGGGAGCGAACGGGAUUAGAUACCCCGGUAGUCCCAGCCGUAAACGAUGGAUACUAGGUGUCGGGGGUAUCGACCCCUCCGGUGCCGCAGCUAACGCAUUAAGUAUCCCGCCUGGGGAGUACGGCCGCAAGGUUG